UUGGAGGGCAAGUCUGGUCCAGCAGCCGCGGUAAUUCCAGCUCCAAUAGCGUAUAUUAAAGUUGUUGUGGUUAAAAAGCUCGUAGUUGAACCUUGGGCCUGGCCGUCCGGUCCGCCUCACCGCGUGUACUGGCUCGGCCGGGCCUUUCCCUCUGUGGAACCCCAUGCCCUUCACUGGGCGUGGCGGGGAAACNGGACUUUUACNGUGAAAAAAUUGAGUGCUCCAGGCAGGCCUAUGCUCGAAUACAUUAGCAUGGAAUAAUAGAAUAGGACGUGUGG
Molecule: ribosomal RNA, 278 nt
Filed under: uncultured Ascomycota
Lineage: Eukaryota; Fungi; Ascomycota
Description: partial 18S ribosomal RNA
Rfam family: Eukaryotic small subunit ribosomal RNA
Source: RNAcentral